UACGGAGGGGGCUAGCGUUGUUCGGAAUUACUGGGCGUAAAGCGCGCAUAGGCGGCUUUGUAAGUUAGAGGUGAAAGCCCGGAGCUCAACUCCGGAAUUGCCUUUAAGACUGCAUCGCUAGAAUCAUGGAGAGGUGAGUGGAAUUCCGAGUGUAGAGGUGAAAUUCGUAGAUAUUCGGAAGAACACCAGUGGCGAAGGCGACUCACUGGACAUGUAUUGACGCUGAGGUGCGAAAGCGUGGGGAGCAAACAGG
RNAcentral lists this ribosomal RNA (253 nucleotides) under uncultured bacterium. Its description in RNAcentral is "partial 16S ribosomal RNA". It matches the Rfam family "Bacterial small subunit ribosomal RNA", at positions 524 to 776 of the family's 1533-position model. The record is from RNAcentral.